UAUAUCCAUGGUAACAGUAUCGCAAAACACACUCACACUUCAUCAUCCACAUCUCAAUCUCUCUAUCUCUCUCAACACCACACACUCACACACACUUUCUCCCUACCAUGGCCUCCCAACCCGCCUGGGCCGAACUUCUGGGCCACAAAGACUGGGCCGGCCUUCUCGACCCCCUCCACCCCUCCCUCCGCACCCUCAUCCUCCGUUGCGGCGACUUAAUCCAGGCCACCUACGACGCCUUCAACAACGACAAGAACUCACCGUUCUGCGGCUCCAGCCGCUACGGCAAGACCGCCUUCUUCCGAAAGGUCAUGCUCGACGACGCCGACCACUACAACGUUACAGCGUUCCUCUACGGCACCGCCAGAGUCUCCGUUCCCGAGGCCUUUCUCCUCCACUCGCAUUCGCGCGAGGCCUGGGACCGCGAGUCCAACUGGAUCGGGUAUGUCGCCGUCACGUCGGACAGCCGCUCGAAGGAGCUCGGGCGGAGAGAGAUCUACGUGGUGUGGCGCGGCACCACGAGAGACAUGGAGUGGAUCAACGUCUUCGGCGCCAGCCAAGAGUCCGCUUCAGCACUGCUCAACGCGGAAAGCGUCAAAGAGUUGAAGGCAAGAAACAAGGACGGAAACAGCAGUAGUGACGAUGAAGACGAUUCAGAAACACCAAAGGUGAUGUUAGGCUGGCUCACGAUCUAUACCUCAGACGAUCCAAAAUCUCCUUUCACGAAAACCAGCGCGAGAACACAAGUUCUUUCUCAUGUGAAAUCCCUGUUAGAACGAUACAAAUCUGAGAAUCCGAGUGUGUUGAUCAUGGGACACAGUCUAGGCGCAACCCUAUCGAUAGUGAGUGGGUUUGACUUGGUGGAAAACGGGGUAACGGAUGUCCCGGUCACCGCAAUUGUGUUUGGGUCUCCCCAGGUUGGAAACAAGGCGUUCAAUAACAGGUUCAAGAAGAAGGGAAACCUGAAGGUUCUGCACGUGACGAACGUGAUCGAUUUGAUCCCGCACUACCCUGGGAGAUUGUUGGGGUACGAGCACACGGGAGAGGAGUUGGUGAUCGACACGCGGAAGUCGCCGAGCUUGAAGGAGUCGAAGAACCCAAGCGACUGGCACAACUUGCAAGCGAUGCUGCACGUGGUGGCAGGGUGGAACGGGGUGCGUGGGGGAUUUGAGUUGAAAGUGAAGAGGAGUUUGGCUCUGGUGAAUAAGUCGUGUUCAUUUCUGAAGGAUGAGUGUGGCGUGCCUGAGUCCUGGUGGGUGGAGAAGAACAAGGGAAUGGUGAAGAGGGAGGAUGGCGAAUGGGUUUCAAAUGCACCAGAUGAGGAGGACGUGCCUGUGCCUGAACAAAUCUAAGCCUAUUAUGAGGGGAGAAUAAUACUUGAGCAAGCUGAGCCUGAGUAAGCUUCUUAUCCAUCCUAGCUUGCAUUAUAGCCUUCUUAAGCUCAGUUGGUACUUUCUCAUCUGUACACAAAACUCCAAUCAGAGGCCAUAAUUUUUGUUUAAGAAAUCUAAAACUUGAACAACAGUGCCACUGCUCACCAUAAUUCUCUGGUCCAUUAAACAGACUAUGAAAUCAUAUGAAUCCAUAAUAUGCACAAUCAGUGAAAAAUAAAAAUGUAGAGAGCAACAACUUCAAUCUUGUUUUAUGCUCCUCAAGCCCAAGGAUUUAAUAUCAAAACCUAGAAUUAAUGAUCCAGUGACCCCGAGAAGUUCCACGUCUCAUCAAGAAAUAGCCAAAAUACACAUGGGUAUGUGAAACAAAUUGAAUGCACGCAGGACUCAAAUUUAUAAUGACAAAAUUUGAAAAAAUAGUAUCAUUCAACUUAGAAAUCGCACAUAGGUCAAUUCUUGAAGAAAAAUCUUUAAUUUUGUUGGGGAAGAGGGUUACUAUCAUGAAGUUUUUCCUCGUGUCUGAAUCUAUGCCAUCAUUUCUACCAUGUUAGCCAUACAUUUUCUUAUUUUGUGCUUAGGACAAAGAACUAACAUUGAUUUCUAUCAUCUAUCAUUUAUAUCACAUCUCUAACACACCCCAAAUCUAUUUAGUUUUAAGCAUGAUUAAUGCUCAGGCUCCCUUACCGUAGAACAGAUUAAACUUUUUAUCAGAAGAAUGAGGACCGCAGGAAUCAAACUCUAGGUCACUUGCUCACAGCGACUCUGAUACCAUGACAUUAACCAAUUACCCAAAAAUCUUGAGUGGUUUGGGAAGAUGCAUGAAUGAUUCUACAUAGCAUCUCUAACAAUUACACCACCAAACACUUUGCCUUGACAUCUCAAAAAAGUUAUUAGCAAACACAUUUCUAGCUAUUGUGAAAUUAUAACGGUGACACAGUGGAACCUUCAAUCUACCUACCACAUAAUCACUAUUCAUUGAAAAAAACAGAACCUCCAUAACCUAGAAAGAGUCAAAAGACAAUAAAAUAAAACUACCAAAAAGAACAUGCUCCAAGAAAAAUUGUGUAGUUGACAAUACUAAAAAGCAGGACAAGGAAGCCACUGCAGGAAUAUCCCCUCAAUGCAAACACCCCAUAUGGACCACAAUAUUGUAUUAUACAUAAUUCACCUCUUUAUUCCUCCCAUAUAACCGUAUAUUCACAGGUAGAUGCACCCAUGUUUUUAUUGGUAAAAAACAUAAGAAAAAGAAAAACCUAAGGGCUGUUUGAUUUCCUUAUAAAAAUUUAACACUACUCAGUAAUCAAGUUUGUCAUCUAAAAUCUGUUAGGCUUUGAAAAUCGUUCACAAAACAAGUGUUUUGAAAUCCAAAAUACAGAAAGUUGGUGAUAUUUUCUCAUCUUAUUUGUCCACGCUCUGCUUUGUGGCUUACACCACCCUCCACCAAUUGUCCAAGCAACCUUGUUUGGUUAAAUUUUGAAAACUAAAAGCAGUUUUUCAGAAGAUAAAUCAAACACAACCUAAUUCUCUGUCUAUAUAUGUUGUAAUACUCACGUGCUAGAUUCUCUGUGUCCUCAUCCAGCCUCUUGGUGUUCAAUGAAGUGCUGCUAGAGGCUGCUUUGUUUGUCCCAGCAUUAUCUGUAAGAGCAACAUUUGAACAAUCAUGAUUCAAACCAUCCAAACAAUAAAGGUCACCAACAGAAGAAAAAAAAAAAAAAACAUACAAACAAACACACGCACAAAAGACACACCGAUAAGCAUUUUAUGCCAAAUCAUUUAGCUCUUGCUUUUUAUGUACCCCCUUUUCCAAACUAAACAAUUAUCAAAUUCAAUUUUUUCCUAACCAUUUAAAAGAUUUAAUUUGCAAAUUAAAUCUGCUGCCUCAACACCAAAUCAUCUGCAAUAGUCACAAGAAAACACGUUCAGAUCCGAGAUUUCAAAAACAAAAAAUCGACGAUAAACUGAUGAAAUCGUAAGAAGAAAUUCAUAUUUGCAAAACAAUUAACACGCGAGGAACAAUAUUUCGAAGAUUUGUUUACUUUUUUCAUUGAGGGUACUGGAAACGAACAUUUUUUUUGGGUUUCAAUAUCGGCGCCGGCGCGGCGGGCGGCGUUGACGGCUUUCUCGUCCGUCUUGGCCGCGGCGGUGGGAGCUUUCUUGCGGAGGACGACGGGUUCCCAGUCCUGGGAAAUAGGGCCCGCACCGGACAUGUUUGUUUGUGUGUUUGUCUGGUUAUGGAAUGGUUGUGUAUUGGGUUCGUUCUGUUCGUUCGCGAAGCUUCAACGAGAGAAGGGAUGAAGGAAGAAGUGGAUUUGGAAGAUGAGAUAGCUUCUGGUAAUUAUGUUUCUCUUUUUCCGGAAAUAAUAUUUUGAGUAAUAGUAUCACAUUUUUACAUCUAUUUCACGUAUACUAUAAAACUAAAAUAUCAUAAAAAAUAAAUUUUUGUAAUUUGAAAAAAAUAAAAAAUAGAAAAUAAGAAAAUAUAAUAUCAAAUAAAUAUAAAAAAUUUAUAUAUAUCAAAAUAUUAUUUUUCAAAUUUUUUAUAUUGCUUUUAUAUCUUAGAUACCUAAUUAAAUAUUUUUUAACUAAAAUUUGAAAAGAUAAAUAGGGUGGUAUAACAAGUAACAUAUACCAUAAUAAGAAAAAAAACUAUAAUUUUAAAAUAAUAAACUAUCAUAGAAAAUUGACAGUUGGAAAGCUUGGCUAGACUUUGGAGCAAACAUCAGCCUCUAUGUCACUCUCAAUGAUUAAAAAGAUUGGUGAUGUGGAGGUCUUACCUAUGAAGAUGACUUUGCAAUUUGUAACAGAGCUCUUUCCCUGCACAUUCAUAUUAUCAUCCUGAACCCAAAAAAUUACUUUAAUAACUUUUUGAAAAUAUGCAAAAACAUGUAUACACUUCAGAUAAUCUUUUGAUUAAGAAUGUGUUUGGUAUUUUAAAACCAAAAUCCUAUACCCUCAAAAAGAAUUCCUCUCAUCCCUCAUCACGUGAGUCGUCCUCUUCUUCUGUGAAUGUAUUUUAUCUGGCACAACUCUCUUGAUUUGUGGUCUUCACUGUAAACUCGGUCCCUGCAUUUCAAAGUCAUCCCUCACUAUCUAUGGAUCGCGGUCAUCUGUUCCGGAAUCUGUGUUGGUUCGUUUGGUGUUGGUCGUUAUCGCCUUCGGUGGUGUGAUGGUGUUCGGACCUCCUCUCUGCGGCUUUGAUUUGUGCAGAUGCUUGGAUUUGUGGUUUAAUGACGUGAAUCGAGGCUCAGAGACUUUAACCCAAAUUCGAAUUAUGGUAAAGGUCUCACUGGUGCUCGAACGCAGGUUAAAGCGUCACCGAAAUUCGAAUGCUGCAGAAGCCCUUGCCGUAUUUGGAGAUCCAGAUGGUUAGAACCAGAUGUGCAUCAUCUUCUCAUGGCGAGACUUCAUCUUCUCCUUGUGAGUCUUCAUCUUUCUCACAUCCUGAAAGGAGAAGACCUACGACAUCUGCUCAUAGAAGACGCGUUCAAGAAAGUCAUAUGGACGUGAUUGAGAAGCACGAGGAGCAUGAGCAACGUGACGAGGGUAUUGAGCACAAGUAUGACGAGGGUAUUCAACACAACUAUGCUUAGGACGAUUAUGUUGAGCAGGAGGAUGUUUAUCAAGAGGAUGUUCAUGAAGAACAAGAGAAAGAAGGUGGAUUCCCAGGAGGUUCACACGACACCUCCUUGCUUACUCACUACACCGACCACAUUGCAUUUUCCAUAUGGCAAGGUCGGGAUCGAUGGGAGAUCAAGGUGAUCUCCCAUGGGAAAAAACUAAAACACUUUGGAAUGUAUAAUGAGGCUAUUGAGCCUUUUAUCACCAUGUUAGGCUUGAGUUCAUUAGUGAAUUUAUCAUAUGAGUAUGCCGAUCAUGGAUUGAUUGUGGCCCUUACGGAGAGGUGGCAUUUGGAGACAAAUAGUUUCUACCUCCUGGUAGGUGAGAUGUCAGUUACACUAGAUGACGUCCACAAUGUCCUCCACCUACCUAUUAUGGGUUAGUUUUGUGAGGUCAAGGACUUAGAGUAUGAGGAGGCUCAAUCUCAUAUUAUGGAUUUGUUGGGCGUGGAUCGCGCCAAAGCUACAUCAAAGAUGACCAGCACACGCGGUCCAAAAGUCAAGCUGAGCUGGUUGAGGGACGUCUACCGGGAGUGUUGUGACCAAGAGCUCUAGGAGUGCGCUUCUCGUGCCUACUUGUUGCAUUUGGUUAGAUGCACAGUUUUUACAAAUAAGAGUGACACUCUCAUUAGAGUAUCGUACCUACUUCUCUUUAAAGACUUGGUUGCCUGUGGGAGAUAUGCUUGGGGAACAGCAGCACUGGCUCAUACAUAUGAGCAGCUGAGAGAUGCUAGCUUUAGUGAUGUCAGACAAAUAACUGGAUAUUCCACUCUUGUACAAGUAGAACUUAGUUAUGCAAAUUUAUUUUCAUAUCUUUUGAGAACGUUAGGAAUGCAUAACACAAUUUGAGUAAUAUUUUUGUAAAGUUGGAUAUAUAAGCACUUUCCUAAAAUGGGAAGGAAGCAAGUGUCGGGGAGGUACAACGAAAUUGACCCUCGGGCUGCAAGGUUCAUACCUCUUAGGCCUAACAAAGAAAUAAUGCAUUGAUAACCGCAAUGACCAUUAACUACAACAUCAAUAACAUCGACAAUGUAUGGAUGAAAUAUGGGAUGAAACUGAUUUAACAUCGAUAUUGGCUUUCUUGAAACUUGUUUGGCCUUCGAUUUAACUUGUGAUUUUUAUGAUGAUGGCUCUGUCCUCGAAUGCAAAGUAUCAAUGUGCUCAAAAUACGGAUGAGUCACGUUUUGUAGACCUCUCAUGACGUGGAACUUUAGUCUUUCGUGCACCUUUUGUUUUCACUUUAUGCAAAGGAGGUACCAAAGAUAUCAUUUCUGAGCAAGCAAUUUCGACUAGCUUCUGCUUGAUGUUGACCUUUUCUGCGAUGUCAACCUUGUUAAAUCGUUCCUGAACCAUAUCAAGUUCACGGUCAAUGCUAAGCUUUGGAAGCGAUUCAGUUGACACAAUACUCUUAAAACUCAAUCGGGUCUACAUAACAUGAAUUUCCCCUAGAGGAAUUAUGUUAGGCGCAUAUCGUGCUAAUUGACAUGCACAUGGUAGCCCGUAAGUUGAUCUCAAAAUGCAUCCACAACGACCACUGUCCAAACCAAUUUGAGCAUAUCAUGAAACACGUCCAACAAGUCUUCUAUAUCUAAAUCCUUUAUAUUGAUCACU
RNA transcript from Vigna angularis (adzuki bean), 6619 nucleotides. It is a transcript of the gene named phospholipase A1-IIdelta, with no coding region annotated. The transcript is spliced from 6 exons. The record is from RefSeq and is a predicted model, not a curated record. NCBI's taxonomy places the organism in Eukaryota, Viridiplantae, Streptophyta, Magnoliopsida, Fabales, Fabaceae.